Sarcophilus harrisii (Tasmanian devil) is the source of this 1180-nucleotide long non-coding RNA. NCBI's taxonomy places the organism in Eukaryota, Metazoa, Chordata, Mammalia, Dasyuromorphia, Dasyuridae. The record is from Ensembl.
CUUGAACCUAACCUAUUCCACUGAUCAACAAAUCUAUUCCUUAGCCAAUACCAAAUGGUUUUGGUAACUGCUGCUCUAUAAUAUAGUUUUAGAUCUGGUACAGCUAAGCCACCUUCAUUUGAUUUUUUUUUCAUUAAUUCCCUUGAAAUUCUUGACCUUUUGUUUUUCCAUAUGAAUUUUGUUGUUAUUUUUUCUAGGUCAUUAAAAUAGUUUUUUGGGAGUCUGAUUGGUAUAGCGCUAAAUAAAUAGAUUGGUUUAGGUAAUAUUGUCAUCUUUAUUAUAUUUGCUCACCCUAUCCAAGAGCAUUUAAUAUUUUUCCAAUUGGUUAGAUCAGACUUAAUUUGUGUGAAAAGUGGUCUGUAAUUUUGCUCAUAAAGUUUCUGAUUUUCCCUUGGCAGAUAGAUUCCUAAAUAUUUUAUAUUAUCAGUAGUUACUUUAAAUGGAAUUUCUCUUUGUAACUCUGACUGUUGGAUUUUGUUAGUGAUAUAUAAGAAUGCUGAUGACUUAUGUGGGUUUAUUUUAUAACCAGCAACUUUGCUAAAGUUCUGGAUUAUUUCUAAUAACUUUUUAGUAGAAUCUCUGGGGUUCUCUAAAUAUACCAUCAUGUCGUCGGCAAAGAGUGAUAAUUUGGUUUCCUCAUUGCCUAUUCUUAUUCCUUUAAUCUCUUUCUCAGCUCUUAUUGCCAAAGCUUGCGUUUCUAAUACAAUAUUAAAUAGUAAUGGUGAUAGUGGGCAACCUUGUUUCACUCCAGAUCUUAUUGGGAAGGGUUGCAGUUUGUCUCCAUUACAUAUGAUGGUUACUGAUGGUUUUAAAUAGAUGCUGCUGAUUAUUUUAAGGAAAAGUCCAUUUAUUCCUAUACUCUCAAGUGUUUUUAAUAGGAAUGGAUGUUGGAUUUUGUCAAAUGCUUUUUCUGCAUCUAUUGAGAUGAUCAUAUGGUUUUUGUUAAUUUGGUUGUUAAUGUGGCCAAUUAUAUUGAUAGUUUUCCUAAUAUUGAACCAGCCCUGCAUUCCUGGUAUAAAUCCUACUUGAUCAUAGUGUAUUAUCCUGGAGAUGAUUUUCUGUAGUCUUUUUGCUAAUAUCUUAUUUAAGAUUUUAGCAUCAGUAUUCAUUAGGGAGAUUGGUCUAUAAUUUUCUUUCUCUGUUUUCAACCUACCUGGUUUAGGUAUCAGUACCAUGUCUG